RNAcentral lists this ribosomal RNA (253 nucleotides) under uncultured bacterium. RNAcentral describes it as "partial 16S ribosomal RNA". It matches the Rfam family "Bacterial small subunit ribosomal RNA", at positions 524 to 776 of the family's 1533-position model. The record is from RNAcentral.
UACGAGGGGAGCUAGCGUUAUUCGGAAUUACUGGGCGUAAAGCGCACGUAGGCGGCUUUGUAAGUAAGAGGUGAAAGCCCAGAGCUCAACUCUGGAAUUGCCUUUUAGACUGCAUCGCUUGAAUCCAGGAGAGGUGAGUGGAGUUCCGAGUGUAGAGGUGAAAUUCGUAGAUAUUCGGAAGAACACCAGUGGCGAAGGCGGCUCACUGGUCCGGUACUGACGCUGAGGUGCGAAAGCGUGGGGAGCAAACAGG